Molecule: non-coding RNA, 190 nt
Filed under: Zhouia amylolytica
Lineage: Bacteria; Pseudomonadati; Bacteroidota; Flavobacteriia; Flavobacteriales; Flavobacteriaceae
Also listed under: 1 other name
Source: RNAcentral
ACUUGUCAAUUUGAUUAAGGUUGAACGUAAAGUUGAUUAAUAGGGAAUUGUGUGCAAAUCACAAGCUGACGCGCAACUGUAAGUAACAUUGAAGGUUUUAUCUAAAGUAUCCACUGUCUAACCACCAUAGGACGGGAAGGAAGAUAAAAACGUUACAAGCCAGGAGACCUGCCUUACAUCAUAAUGAUUU